RNAcentral lists this ribosomal RNA (406 nucleotides) under uncultured bacterium. RNAcentral's name for it is "bacterial SSU rRNA". It matches the Rfam family "Bacterial small subunit ribosomal RNA", at positions 355 to 776 of the family's 1533-position model. The record is from RNAcentral.
UGGGGAAUAUUGCGCAAUGGGGGGAACCCUGACGCAGCAACGCCGCGUGAGUGAAGAAGGCCUUCGGGUCGUAAAACUCUGUCAUAGGGGAAGAAUAGAUGACGGUACCCUAUGAGGAAGCCCCGGCUAACUACGUGCCAGCAGCCGCGGUAAUACGUAGGGGGCGAGCGUUGUCCGGAAUCACUGGGCGUAAAGGGUGCGUAGGCGGCAUAAUAAGUCAGAUGUGAAAUCCCAGGGCUUAACCCUGGAGUUGCAUUUGAAACUGUGAUGCUUGAGUGCAGGAGAGGGAAGCGGAAUUCCUAGUGUAGCGGUGAAAUGCGUAGAGAUUAGGAGGAACACCAGUGGCGAAGGCGGCUUUCUGGACUGUAACUGACGCUGAGGCACGAAAGCGUGGGGAGCGAACAGG